GGCCAUCAAACAGGAACGACAGCCUUAAAUUUUCCUGUAGAUAUACUUCCUUUCUCUAAAAUGCUGAUCAGGUCUCGUUUCUUUAUUAUUGUGUUCAGUUUAGUGUGUUGCUUUAAGAAAAAAAAACAUGUUGUUUUGAUUGCUUUGUUUUCUCACAGUUUUUACUGCCUAGACUGGUACUAGGGGACCCUCAUUUUCCUGCUCUGGAGAAUUGACUGUAUAUCUCAUCUCUUCAAAUUGUGCCCAAGCUACAGGAUUAGAAACUUGCAAAUGAGGAUAUUCACUAACCCUUCUGCUUCAGCUGUGUGUCUGUAAGGAGAAUUGAGUGGUCAGUGGGCAAGGUGGGUAGCUGACAUUUGUUUAAGGGUUAGACUGGUUGCUUAGGCCAAACAAACUUGGCUCCUGUUUGCUCUGUCAGCUCCCUGAUCUUUCACCUGGGUUUCAUUUGAAUGGGCUGCAGAAAUACUUUAACUGCAGUUGUGCCCACUUCCCCUGACUUUGGUGUCUUUCACAGCCUUUGCCUUGGCAGUAGAAAGAGAGAACUCCUUCCCCUGACAGACUUGGAGCUUUCCUGAGCCUGUGUGAUAGGGCAGCUUGAUCCAUAGUUUCUAAAGCAUUCUCUAGAAGGAAAAUCAGGCCAUGAUGUUCCUGCUACACAGCCAUAUGUUAAGCUUAGUAUAACAUUGAAUUUAGGAGGAGGCUCAAAGAAACAGAUAAAUUGUCACUACACUGGUUAAAUUUGCCAGGACAGGAGCCAUCUCUCUUGAAUUCAGUUUUGGUUGCUGAAACUGAAGACAAAGAAUUCUCUCUAUUGCAACAAAACAGCUCAUGCUGGCUUGUGGAGAUGACAUUGAUGCAUGCAGAACAUAUGCACAGAAGGGUAGAAAUUUAUUCUAAUAAUGAAAUCAGGCAGUGUCCUCUGUUCUGAACUUCUGCUUAUUUGUGUUAUUAACUCAUACUGAACUGAUGUUCCUAACAUUGGGAUGUUCCUAACAUAGGGAUGAUGUUCCUAACACCGUAACUUCUUAUUAUUUAAAAGACACAUGAAAUAGAUCUUUACAAUAAGAUAUAUGUGGUUUAUCACCAGGGAAAAAAGAGUUUGCAUUUUUUGUAACUUUUAAAAAAUAGUGUUUAUUUUAUGUAGGAGAGAAGCACUAAUUUAGAUACUAAAGUGAGGGGGUUGGCUCUUCAGCUAAUGAACAAUGAGAAUUCAUUCUGUACUAAUACUUGCGCAUUUUAAAACAAAAAGUCUGAGAAGUACAUGGAUUCUAGGGACAAAAUUACUGUCUGCUCAGAAUUUUAUAUUUAAUUAACUCCCUUUUGCUGUUGAUAUACAAUGCUGCACUUUAAAAUACCAAUAAAUACUGGUUAUGCAAGUAAACAUAAAAAUGAGAGGUGUACUGAGCAAUAACUUUGGCUAAACAUUGCUAGGGAAAGUAGGAGAAGGCACUUGGGGAGGGGAAGAAAAGACUUAGCAAUCAGUAUUUUCAGAGAAUUUUUGACCAAUAUUUUACAGUAAGAAAAAUAUCUGUGACCAGGAGAGCGCUGCCAACAUCUGUCAAUCUGAGGGGACUGUAGAAUGUAUACUCUGAUUUUUCAGCUCUUUUUCAGCAAGGCUUUAGAAGAGAGUAUUAUGCAACACAUAAAUGUGUCUUUGUUUUAAUGUGGUGGUUCUUUGACGCUUUCAGUGAUAAUGUUGGUAGCUCAAAAUAGCUGUACUGCACUGUCUGCUCUAGCAGCAGUUACAGUGGAUUAUAGAACAUUUUCUAUAUAAUAAACAG
This is a long non-coding RNA of Aquila chrysaetos chrysaetos, 1781 nucleotides long. RefSeq lists it as uncharacterized. The record is from RefSeq and is a predicted model, not a curated record. The transcript is spliced from 3 exons. NCBI's taxonomy places the organism in Eukaryota, Metazoa, Chordata, Aves, Accipitriformes, Accipitridae.